Brachypodium distachyon (stiff brome) is the source of this 2105-nucleotide RNA transcript. It is a transcript of the gene named protein STRICTOSIDINE SYNTHASE-LIKE 4, with no coding region annotated. The record is from RefSeq and is a predicted model, not a curated record. The transcript has 6 exons. NCBI's taxonomy places the organism in Eukaryota, Viridiplantae, Streptophyta, Magnoliopsida, Poales, Poaceae.
CAUAUCAGGACAAGUUGGUUUGGUCUUUGGACAGUGGCCGAGUGGACGGACGCUAUAAGAGCAACAGUACUACUCCAGCCUAGCCUAGCACUCCCAGUUUUCCGUCAGUACUGAAGUAGUCUAUUAGCAUUAGUCCGUCGCCGGCGCCGGCCGACGUCGAUCGGGGGAUUAAUUCGGGUGGUCGAUCAGCAGAUAUGGCGCCGGGCUUGUUCGGCGCGGCGGCGGCACUGGCCGUGGCGGUGUCGCUGGCGGUGCACGUGGCGCUCAACUGCCCCAUCGACCCGGCCCCGUCGCCGCCGUUCCCCGCCGGCCCCCGCCACACGCCCAAUAACCUCCUCCAGGGGCUGGAGAAGCUGGGGGCAGGGCGGCUGAGCGGGCCGGAGGACGUGCAGGUGCACGGCGGGGCGGUGUACACGGCCACCAGGGACGGCUGGCUGCAGAGGAUGCUCCCCGACGGGUCCUGGGAGAACUGGCGUUUCGUCGGCGGCACCGGCCUCCUCGGGAUCGCCCCCUCCGCCGACGGCUCCAUGCUCGUCUGCGACGCCGACAAGGGAUUGCUGAGGGUCGAUGAGGAACGGGUGACCAUUCUCGCAUCAACGGUCGAUGGCUCCCCGAUCAGGUUCGCGGACGCGGCGAUCGAGGCGUCGGACGGGACGGUGUACUUCAGCGACGCGAGCACCCGGUUCGGCUUCGACCUCUGGUUCCUGGCUUACCUGGAAUCCCGCCCGACGGGCCGCCUCCUCGCGUACCACCCCAGCACCGGCAAGGCCACCGUCGCGCUCGACAACCUCGCCUUCGCCAACGGCGUCGCCCUCUCCCAUGACCAGGCCUUCGUCAUCGUCUGCGAGUCCGGCGGGUACAGAUGCACCAAGCUGUGGCUGAAAGGGGACAAGGCUGGCCAGCCGGAGACCUUCGUCGAGAACCUCCCUGGCUCUCCGGACAACAUCCGUCUUGCGACCGACGGCUCCUUCUGGAUCGCCCUCAUCCAGCUGAGGUCGCCGUGGCUGGACCUGGUGACCCGCUGGACGUGGACCAAGAGAGUCGUCGCGUCGUUCCCGGUGCUCCUCCACGCGAUCAAGGCGACGGCCAAGGGAGCCAUGGUGGCGCAUGUGUCGGAGGACGGUGAGAUCCUCCGCGUGCUCGACGACACCGAGGGGAAGGUGAUCAACUUCAUCACUUCCGUGACGGAGUUCGACGGGCACCUCCUGCUGGGAAGCCUCUGGGCGGACUUCGUCGGCAAGCUGCCGCUGGCCAAGGUGACACAGGCGCAGCAGCAGGCUGCAGCUGCUUCCUCGUAGACAUGGUGACAGUAGGGGAGUGUCGUCGUCCGCUGCCCAUCGGAAACAAUAAAGGGUGUUUCCAGGCCCUUUCAUUGGAAUGAGAUCAUGGUUCCAGAAUUCACCGAGUUGUAGAAGAUUCAUAAAGGAUGGCGGGUGAACAGGGUGUUCCUAGGCCGUUUGAUGAUCGAAAUGAGAUCCAACGCUAGACAUUCCGGUGAUCUCAAAAAAGAGAAGAAAAAGAAAGACAUGCUAAACAUUACGGAAUACGAGAAACUGCAGUCCUAUCAGCCAUAUGAUCGAGUGAUUCGCCACACUUGUGAGGACCUAGCAAGGUACCAGGAGGUUAUGAUGGACAAUGGACGACUACAAGAUUUGAAUCUCACAUCCAACAGACACAAGUGACUUCUGUUUAUCCGCGAUGCUUCUCUUGCCCGGCAGCCGGCAGGAAAACUCUUAAAACUGGUUCCUCCUUCUCGACGGAUCCCACCUGGAACAUUCGCCUUACUUGUAAUGUUCAGAGCGCAAAUAGAGCAGCAUAUGCACGUGUUAGGGAGAAAAACGAACAUUACCUCGAUGUCAAGGCUAUUAAUAUCUCCCAGAACGUGUCUCAAUGCGAAUGCUGCCAUCUGGGACAAAAAGAGGAACAUAUAUCACAAUGUCUUUGAACCACUAGGUCAGGAGAAUUUUGAGAGUACAGAUAGGUCAGUUCUGCAGUCGUGUUAAUCUCUCCUGGGACACUUUAUGUCUUUUCUCCUUCUAAUAUAAGGGCAGGGCAGGAGCUCUGCUCUGCCGUGUAUUUGAGUGAAAAAAGGGUCAGUUCUACUA